CCGCCAGCUUCGUUUUCAAACAAGUGACGACGACAGACGGUUCAACUUCGAGGAAGAGCUAACGUUUGCGCUUUCGCUAAUAUUUGGCUACAAACUCACACAUUUGAGUUUUAUUCGUAAAUUAUCGUUUUGAUAUAUGUUUUGAAGGCAAUUAUCUUGCCAUAUAUUCUUUACAUCGGCGUUAUCACCAGAACAAAGGUUUCAAGCUUCAGUCGACUCGCUUGUGUCCGAAAACAAAACAAUGGCUAAGGGAGAAGAAUCGCACUCUGAAAUGGCCCACGAUCGUCAGAGUGAUGGCAUCAAUGUGAUCUUUGACCAAAACAGCCCUGCCUCAUCUCGGUCCCGCUCACGAUCUAGAAGCAGUAGUGGCAGCAAACUCUCACCUGGCUCUGGCCGCUUUAGGGGACGUGGUAGCCACAGGAGACGCCACAAGUCCUCAUCCAGCAGCAGGUCCCCCACUCAUACGCGGUCACGCUCUCACACUCGUUGCCGUAGGCCUUCGUCCCACUGCCGCUGUGACAACCAUCGCAAAAAUGGCCGUGGCCGCCAAUCCCCACCACGGCGCUCCAGGGCCCACUCCAGGUCUUCCAGCCGUCGGAGCAGGAGGGCUGCGAGCCCGUCUUCCCAAUCCAUAACCCACAGAGGCGAUUCAAGAUCCGGAUCUUCAGAGAACUCUGUCAAUUUGAGUUUGGAUGACAAAGGAGAACUCCUCACAGCUGCAAAGGUCAUUGCUACUACAAUCCUAGAAGUGGAAAAGCUGGAGCUUCCUGAGAGUGUGAAACCAAUCCUAUUGGAGCAGUCGGAGUUCAAACGGGUGUCGCUAGAUACAUGGGUGAGACAAGACCCUGAAAAGACUCUGUCACAGCAGAAUCCUUCAUUCGCUGAUGGAGCAAAGGCGUGUGGACCGCAUUAUAGUGACUAUCCCUGUCGAGAACUAAAAACAGAUGAAGAACUCCUCUCCGUAUGCCAAAGAUAAGUUGGUUCACCAGCCGUGUGCUGAGGGCUGGGAAAGCUACGUCACCAUCAUUCUGCCACUGUAGACAGAGAAGACAUCCCUUUUUUUUUUUUUACAUUUUAUUUUAUUCUGUUUCAAGGUCUGUCUUUGUAGGAUUCAGUUAAUGGUCGAGCCAAGCUUUUGACAGCAGUAGGAUGGGGGGUUUUAAGUGUUGAAGCUAACACUUAAAUAAUUAAUAUGCAAUAGAAGUGCUUUACAAUAUUGCCAAUGGGAACUAUAACGUAUCUAUAUGACCAUAACAAACUGUCAAAGCUCACUCUACCAUCAGUUAUACACGCAUAUCUGACUUGGUCUGUUUUUCUUUUAUCUUUUUCAAACAGAGCGAUGAGGAGGAGCCUGACGAUAUGUUCAGCUCUAAGAUGUCCCCAAAAAGGAAAACGAUCUCUUUCAGCAUUAAUAAUUCUUUGUUCAAACCAUCCCUGGCAUCUCAAUCGAGUGCUAAGGUAACUUCCAGGGUGGACAGCUUUGACA
Cottoperca gobio is the source of this 1486-nucleotide RNA transcript. It is a transcript of the gene named arginine/serine-rich protein 1, with no coding region annotated. The transcript is spliced from 5 exons. Lineage: Eukaryota; Metazoa; Chordata; Actinopteri; Perciformes; Bovichtidae. The record is from RefSeq and is a predicted model, not a curated record.